RNAcentral lists this RNase P RNA (326 nucleotides) under chicken gut metagenome. RNAcentral describes it as "Bacterial RNase P class B". It matches the Rfam family "Bacterial RNase P class B". Rfam says of the family: Ribonuclease P (RNase P) is a ubiquitous endoribonuclease, found in archaea, bacteria and eukarya as well as chloroplasts and mitochondria. The record is from RNAcentral.
UAAGGCAAAUGCGGCAUACUUGUUAUGUUGAGGAAAGUCCUUGCUCGCACAGCCUGAGAUGGUUGUAGUGUUUGUGCUUAGGGAAAAAAUAACCUAAGGUAGCGUAUGCUAACGGCUCCGAGGAAACCUUCAAUGGUUUUAGUAGGUGUAAAAGUGCCAAAGUGACGAAGAAAAGGGAAACCUUGGAAGUGGAACGUGGUAAACCCCGCAAGCGAGAAACCCAAAUUUUGGUAGGGGAGCUGUUGCUAGGAAUUAAACGAUGCAACGGACCAGAAAUGGUAGAUAAAUAUUUGCCCCGUUUUUUAACGGACAGAACAAGGCUUAUU